RNAcentral lists this ribosomal RNA (468 nucleotides) under uncultured bacterium. Its description in RNAcentral is "partial 16S ribosomal RNA". It matches the Rfam family "Bacterial small subunit ribosomal RNA", at positions 28 to 507 of the family's 1533-position model. The record is from RNAcentral.
GACGAACGCUGGCGGCGUGCUUAACACAUGCAAGUCGAACGGAAAGGCCCUGCUUUUGUUGGGUGCUCGAGUGGCGAACGGGUGAGUAACAAGUGAGUAACCUGCCCUUGACUUUGUGAUAACUUCAGGAAACUGCGGCUAAUACCGGAUAUGAUCUCCUGCUGCAUGGUGGGGGUUGGAAAGUUUCGGCGGUUGGGGAUGGACUCGCGGCUUAUCAGCUUGUUGGUGGGGUAGUGGCUUACCAAGGCUUUGACGGGUAGCCGGCGUGAGAGGGUGACCGGCCACAGUGGGACUGAGAUACGGCCCAGACUCCUACGGGAGGCAGCAGUGGGGAAUAUGGCAGAAUGGCCGGAAGCGUGAUGCAGCAACGCCGCGUGCGGGAUGCCGGGCUUCGGGUUGUAAACCGCUUUCGAAUGUGACGAAGAGUGAGUGACGGUAAUGGGUAAAGAAGCACCGGCUAACUACGUG